UAUGUGAUCGUCUCUCGCAUAUCAAUAAGCGGAGGAAAAGAAACUAACGAGGAUUCCCCUAGUAACGGCGAGUGAAGCGGGAAGAGCUCAAAUUUGAAAUCUUAAAGGGUUUCCCUUUACGAAUUGUAGUUUAAAGAAGUGUUUUCUGUUGAGGUUUUGGUAAAAGUUCUUUGGAAUAGGACAUCAUAGAGGGUGAGAAUCCCGUAUUUGACCUUUACUUUCAACUUUGUGAUACACUUUCAAAGAGUCGGAUUGUUUGGGAAUGCAGUCCAAAAUGGGUGGUAAAUUUCAUCUAAAGCUAAAUAUUGGCGAGAGACCGAUAGCGAACAAGUACCGUGAGGGAAAGAUGAAAAGAACUUUGAAAAGAGAGUUAAACAGUACGUGAAAUUGUCAAAAGGGAAGCGUUUGACACCAGUGUUGUUUUUCUGAAAAUCAAUUAAAGAACUGUUUAUGCUAAGUUGUUUAGACUUUAUCAGCUAUCUGCUUAGUUUUGAGCUUUUCUUUAAUGCACUUUUCAGUUAACAAGUCAACAUCAAUUUCUUUUGCUGUAAAAAAGCUUGAGGAAGGUGGCUUGAGAUUCGUCUUAAGUGUUUAUAGCCUCUUGCCUAUGCAGUCGGGGAGAUUGAGGUCUGCAGCGUAGAUCCUUCGGGGCUAAAUGCAUUUGUGCUAAGUUAUAGCAUUUUAUAGACAACUUGUUGACUAUGAUUUGUCUUGUAGCUUACUCGCUUAUGUUAUUUUACCUACGCUUAGGAUGUUGAAGACUCUACAGAGAUA
Molecule: ribosomal RNA, 774 nt
Filed under: uncultured Neocallimastigales
Lineage: Eukaryota; Fungi; Neocallimastigomycota; Neocallimastigomycetes; Neocallimastigales
Description: partial large subunit ribosomal RNA
Rfam family: Eukaryotic large subunit ribosomal RNA
Source: RNAcentral